This 2366-nucleotide ribosomal RNA is filed under the name Paris polyphylla var. yunnanensis. RNAcentral describes it as "bacterial LSU rRNA". It matches the Rfam family "Bacterial large subunit ribosomal RNA", at positions 3 to 2416 of the family's 2925-position model. Lineage: Eukaryota; Viridiplantae; Streptophyta; Magnoliopsida; Liliales; Melanthiaceae. The record is from RNAcentral.
UCAAGCGACUAAGUGCACAUGGUGGAUGCCUUGGCGAUUACAGGCGAUGAAGGACGUAGUAGCUUGCGAUAAGCUGCGGGGAGCUAGCAAACAAGCUUUGAUCCGCAGAUUUCCGAAUGGGGAAACCCGGCCCUUUGGGUCAUCACUCACUGAAUACAUAGGUGUGUGAAGCGAACGCGGCGAACUGAAACAUCUAAGUAGCUGCAGGAAAAGAAAUCAACCGAGAUUCCCAAAGUAGUGGCGAGCGAAAUGGGACCAGCCUGCAAGAUUUAGCAUCGAUGAUAGUGGAACGGAAUGGAAAGUCCGGCCAUAGCGGGUGAUAGCCCCGUACACGAAAUUCGAACGGUGGUACUAAGCGUACGACAAGUAGGGCGGGACACGAGAAAUCCUGUCUGAAGAUGGGGGGACCAUCCUCCAAGGCUAAAUACUCGUAAUCGACCGAUAGUGAACAAGUACCGUGAGGGAAAGGCGAAAAGAACCCCGGGAGGGGAGUGAAAUAGAUCCUGAAACCGUGUGCAUACAAACAGUAGGAGCCUCGCAAGGGGUGACUGCGUACCUUUUGUAUAAUGGGUCAGCGACUUACAUUCAGUGGCAAGGUUAACCGAAUAGGGAAGCCGUAGAGAAAUCGAGUCCGAAUAGGGCGUUCAGUCGCUGGGUGUAGACCCGAAACCAGAUGAUCUAUCCAUGGCCAGGUUGAAGGUGCGGUAACACGCACUGGAGGACCGAACCCACUAAUGUUGAAAAAUUAGGGGAUGAGCUGUGGGUAGGGGUGAAAGGCUAAACAAACCUGGAAAUAGCUGGUUCUCUCCGAAAACUAUUUAGGUAGUGCCUCAAGUAUUACCAUCGGGGGUAGAGCACUGUUAUGGCUAGGGGGUCAUGGCGACUUACCAAACCAUUGCAAACUCCGAAUACCGAUGAGUACAGCUUGGGAGACAGUGCACCGGGUGCUAACGUCCGGUGUCAAGAGGGAAACAACCCAGACCGCCAGCUAAGGUCCCCAAGAUUGGCUAAGUGGGAAACGAAGUGGGAAGGCUAAAACAGUCAGGAUGUUGGCUUAGAAGCAGCCAUCAUUUAAAGAAAGCGUAAUAGCUCACUGAUCGAGUCGUCCUGCGCGGAAGAUGUAACGGGGCUAAGCCAGUCACCGAAGCUGCGGAUGUGCAAUUUAUUGCACGUGGUAGGGGAGCGUUCUGUAAGCCUGCGAAGGUGUCUCGAGAGGGAUGCUGGAGGUAUCAGAAGUGCGAAUGCUGACAUGAGUAGCGAUAAAGGGUGUGAAAAGCACCCUCGCCGAAAGCCCAAGGUUUCCUACGCAACGUUCAUCGGCGUAGGGUGAGUCGGCCCCUAAGGCGAGGCUGAAAAGCGUAGUCGAUGGGAAACAGGUGAAUAUUCCUGUACCGCUCUUUACUGCGAUGUGGGGACGGAGAAGGUUAGCUCAGCCAACUGUUGGAUAUGUUGGUUCAAGCCUGUAGUCGUGCUCUCUAGGCAAAUCCGGAGAGAUGAGAUGAGGGGUGAUAACGAGGCAGCUUGCUGCCGAAGUGAGUGAUACCCUGCUUCCAGGAAAAGCCACUAAGCUUCAGCUAUUGACGACCGUACCGCAAACCGACACUGGUGCGCGAGAUGAGUAUUCUAAGGCGCUUGAGAGAACUCUGGAGAAGGAACUCGGCAAAUUGACACCGUAACUUCGGAAGAAGGUGUGCCUUUAGUAGGUGAAGUCCCCCGCGGAUGGAGCCCAAUGAGGUUGCAAAGAAUCGGUGGCUGCGACUGUUUAAUAAAAACACAGCACUCUGCAAACACGAAAGUGGACGUAUAGGGUGUGACGCCUGCCCGGUGCUGGAAGAUUAAAUGAUGGGGUGCAAGCUCUUGAUUGAAGUCCCAGUAAACGGCGGCCGUAACUAUAACGGUCCUAAGGUAGCGAAAUUCCUUGUCGGGUAAGUUCCGACCUGCACGAAUGGCGUAACGAUGGCCACACUGUCUCCUCCUGAGACUCAGCGAAGUUGAAAUGUUUGUGAUGAUGCAAUCUCCCCGCGGAAAGACGGAAAGACCCCAUGAACCUUUACUGUAGCUUUACAUUGGACUUUGACGGGACUUGUGUAGGAUAGGUGGGAGGCUUUGAAGUGCGGACGCCAGUUCGCAUGGAGCCAUCCUUGAAAUACCACCCUUAUCGUCAUGGAUGUCUAACCGCGGUCCGUUAUCCGGAUCCGGGACAGUGUAUGGUGGGUAGUUUGACUGGGGCGGUCGCCUCCCAAAGUGUAACGGAGGCGCGCGAUGGUGGGCUCAGACCGGUCGGAAAUCGGUCGUCGAGUGCAAUGGCAUAAGCCCGCCUGACUGCGAGACUGACAAGUCGAGCAGAGACGAAAGUCGGCCAUAGU